Molecule: long non-coding RNA, 1537 nt
Organism: Salvia miltiorrhiza (redroot sage)
Lineage: Eukaryota; Viridiplantae; Streptophyta; Magnoliopsida; Lamiales; Lamiaceae
Exons: 4
Source: RefSeq, a predicted model, not a curated record
AAUAAAAAAUUGGCGCUCUUCAUCCCGCUAUUUUUUUUUUUCAAUUGAUUUGAUUCCUAUUUUUCAGGAAAAGAUCAUCUUUACCCAAAUCAACUAUUCAAUAUAAGGUUAAUUCCAUUUAUGAUACCGUUUGAAGAAAGGAAAAAGAAUUAUUCUCAUACAUUUUCUCUAUACGGUAGUUCCGACUCUUCGACUUUACUUACACCGAUUCCUUAUCGCAUUCCAUAUUGCUGUACAGAGGAUUCAAGGAAUCUGAGCAGAAGAUGGGUUUUGAAUGGGGUACUGGAAAGGUAAUGCAGUUGGAACUAAACGCUGCCAAUUAUGUAGUCGGAAACAAUGCAAGGUUUUUUUCGUCUCAACUAGGAAUCUUAGCAAAAGAUGGCAACAGAGUGCCACUAUCUCAUUUCGGUGGAAGUGAAGGAAAAUAAAAACUUGUCGGGCAGUUACAAAAAAAAUUGUUUGAAAAACUUGAAAAACUCUGGAAGGCUUGGAAGAAUAGAUUGAAAGCGAAGUAUUAUACCCCACAUAGGCAUGACAAGAAUUACAUACUGUGAAGAUGUCCCCAAAUGGUGGAAGCCGAUGAAUGGCCUUUAUUGGUAAACCAUUGGAGUUCGGAAAAUGCAAAGGUUAGUAUUAUACAUCAAAUAAAUUCUAAAAUUUGUGAUGUUCAGCUUGCAAUUGGUAACAUAGUUAAAUUCAGUUAUUAAAUGUUGCAAUUUCAGUGUAUGAGAUAGUAUUUUGUUGGAAAUUUGUGCGCCUCAUAAAAGGAAAAAUUUGAAGAUAAUUAUUACAUCAACAUGUUAAUGUAAUCAUAAUUCUUUUAAUGGCGUAAAUACAUGGUUGCUUGUUAAAUAAUUUGUGCAAAAUGACUAUAUAAUCUGAAGGUGUGUCCUAUGCCUUUUUUUUCUUCUUUUUCUUUUCUCUUAGAUUAUAUUGUUUGUUCUUGCUUUUUAGUGAUUGAUUAUAUAUCAAAUGUUACUGUUGGUACUUGAUUGAAUUUUAGAAACUUAGUAAGAUUAAUAGAAACAAUCGGAAGCAUGUCACACUUUCUCCUAGACUGGGACGGAAGGAUAUGGCCAAUGCUAUAGAAGAGUACCGUCGGGAAUAUGGUAAAGAAUCAUCACAACUAGAUUUGUUUGUCUAUACACGUCAACAGCAGAGUGCAAAAUCAGUUGAUAAGAAUACACAAGAGAAACUAGUAAGUACUCUUUAUUUUCCACUUGUUUAAAGUCAUUAACUCGUAUGGAUUUAAUUAUUGAUAGACUUUUUGAUUAUUUGGAUUCAAUAUUGUGUUAUUUCUUAUUUCUUUCUUUUUGAUUAAGGGUAUCAGUACUCGACGUUUGUGAUCAUAAUUGAGAUUUUGUCUGAUCAUGUAUUAUCUCAUAAAUAGAUUGAUCAUCCAUCGCGAUUGUUGCUUUAUCAUCAACACUAGUAGUUUUUUCCUUAAACCAAACACUAAUUUAUUUUCUUCUAUUUUCUUCAGUACCUUCUACCUAUUAAAAAUAUUAAUUAAUUAAAUAAAUCUAUUUUAUGUGAU